This 26-nucleotide non-coding RNA is filed under the name Homo sapiens (human). The record is from RNAcentral. Lineage: Eukaryota; Metazoa; Chordata; Mammalia; Primates; Hominidae.
UGCAAAGCCUGUGUGCAAGGAGAGUG